UACAGAGGAGCCAAGCGUUGUCCGGAUUGACUGGGCGUAAAGCGCACGCAGGCGGAUGCGCGCGUGGGGUGUGAAAUCUGGCCGCUUAACGGCCAGGCGCCAUCCCAUACGGCGUAUCUGGAGGGCUGCAGAGGUCGAUGGAAUUGCCGGUGUAGUGGUGAAAUGCGUAGAGAUCGGCAGGAACACCCAGGGGGAAACCAGUCGACUGGGCAGCACCUGACGCUGAGGUGCGAGAGCGUGGGGAGCGAACCGG
This 253-nucleotide ribosomal RNA is filed under the name uncultured bacterium. Its description in RNAcentral is "partial 16S ribosomal RNA". It matches the Rfam family "Bacterial small subunit ribosomal RNA", at positions 524 to 776 of the family's 1533-position model. The record is from RNAcentral.